Molecule: non-coding RNA, 158 nt
Organism: Hyaloscypha variabilis F
Lineage: Eukaryota; Fungi; Ascomycota; Leotiomycetes; Helotiales; Hyaloscyphaceae
Source: the annotation of a GenBank genome assembly
GGGCUUGUGGUUUAGUGGUAUAAUACUGUGAGUUAAUCUGAAUACUCACUCCAAUAUAUCAAAACUAAUAUAUCCUCUAGCCCUUAGCAUUCGGCGCAGCUUCACAGCUCGUUUCUAGUGUCUGGGAGUGGUCCGGGGUUCGAUUCCCCGCGAGUCCA